GACGAACGCUGGCGGCGUGCUUAACACAUGCAAGUCGAACGGAAGGGCCCUGCUUUUGUGGGGUGCUCGAGUGGCGAACGGGUGAGUAACACGUGAGUAACCUGCCCUUGACUUUGGGAUAACUUCAGGAAGCUGGGGCUAAUACCGGAUAGGAGCUCCUGCUGCAUGGUGGGGGUUGGAAAGUUUCGGCGGUUGGGGAUGGACUCGCGGCUUAUCAGCUUGUUGGUGGGGUAGUGGCUUACCAAGGCUUUGACGGGUAGCCGGCCUGAGAGGGUGACCGGCCACAUUGGGACUGAGAUACGGCCCAGACUCCUACGGGAGGCAGCAGUGGGGAAUAUUGCACAAUGGGCGGAAGCCUGAUGCAGCAACGCCGCGUGCGGGAUGACGGCCUUCGGGUUGUAAACCGCUUUCGCCUGUGACGAAGCGUGAGUGACGGUAAUGGGUAAAGAAGCACCGGCUAACUACGUG
Molecule: ribosomal RNA, 468 nt
Filed under: uncultured bacterium
Lineage: Bacteria
Description: partial 16S ribosomal RNA
Rfam family: Bacterial small subunit ribosomal RNA
Source: RNAcentral